Cryptotermes secundus is the source of this 3707-nucleotide long non-coding RNA. RefSeq lists it as uncharacterized. NCBI's taxonomy places the organism in Eukaryota, Metazoa, Arthropoda, Insecta, Blattodea, Kalotermitidae. The record is from RefSeq and is a predicted model, not a curated record. The transcript is spliced from 2 exons.
GUGGUAACAGCUACCUGUACUAGCUAUCAUGUUGUUAGAAAUGGUUCUGAUUCGCUUGUCAGGUUGAUGAGGAGCGUGAGCGGAAGGGGGGCAGUUUGGUUAUGUUAAAUUCAAUUGAGGUUACAGGAUUUUAACGUUGAGGUAGUGUGACGUUACUUGUGUAAUAUUUUUGUAAUGUAAAAGCUUUACGUGUUUGCUGUGAUGAUUUGAUAUAAAUUUGUUCAGUAAGCAGGAGACGAGUGUACUUGACAAAUAUUGUUCAUAGUACAUCUUCGUGAAUAUAUAAAUUUGAAUCAUAUAGACUCUUAUUAGAGGUGCAGCUGCAGUUCUGCAGUUGGGUUAUGGUUUAACAUGUCUGUGCUUCAGCUCCAAGGUGGUUGUAAACGUAAAUGUAAGCCCGUCACUGUGACCGAAGUAAUUAACAAACUCACAGCCUGUGACUCACCAGCAUGAGACCUCAAGUGACUCAUCUGCCAUAAGAGGAAGGAGUUGUUGCUGUACAGUCAUAACAAGCAAGUUACAGCAUUUCUCUGAUGUCCAUUAUGCUGUCCUGUCAUCCAUGCUUGGCUCUUUCAGAUAGCCUUUUCUCUUGCGACUAUGCUGUCAGGAUCUCUGCAUGUCAAGACUGAAGUGAAAAUCUGUGCAUGCCAAAACUGAAGUGAAAAUCUCAAAUGAGACCUCAAGUGACCCAUCUGCCAUAAGAGGAAGGAGUUGUUGCUGUACAGUCAUAACAAGCAAGUUACAGCAUUUCUCUGAUGUCCAUUAUGCUGUCCUGUCAUCCAUGCUUGGCUCUUUCAGAUAGCCUUUUCUCUUGCGACUAUGCUGUCAGGAUCUCUGCAUGUCAAGACUGAAGUGAAAAUCUGUGCAUGCCAAAACUGAAGUGAAAAUCUCAAAUGAGACCUCAAGUGACCCAUCUGCCAUAAGAGGAAGGAGUUGUUGCUGUACAGUCAUAACAAGCAAGUUACAGCAUUUCUCUGAUGUCCAUUAUGCUGUCCUGUCAUCCAUGCUUGGCUCUUUCAGAUAGCCUUUUCUCUUGCGACUAUGCUGUCAGGAUCUCUGCAUGUCAAGACUGAAGUGAAAAUCUGUGCAUGCCAAAACUGAAGUGAAAAUCUCAAAUGAGACCUCAAGUGACCCAUCUGCCAUAAGAGGAAGGAGUUGUUGCUGUACAGUCAUAACAAGCAAGUUACAGCAUUUCUCUGAUGUCCAUUAUGCUGUCCUGUCAUCCAUGCUUGGCUCUUUCAGAUAGCCUUUUCUCUUGCGACUAUGCUGUCAGGAUCUCUGCAUGUCAAGACUGAAGUGAAAAUCUGUGCAUGCCAAAACUGAAGUGAAAAUCUCAAAUGAGACCUCAAGUGACCCAUCUGUCAUAAGAGGAAGGAGUUGUUGCUGUACAGUCAUAACAAGCAAGUUACAGCAUUUCUCUGAUGUCCAUUAUGCUGUCCUGUCAUCCAUGCUUGGCUCUUUCAGAUAGCCUUUUCUCUUGCGACUAUGCUGUCAGGAUCUCUGCAUGUCAAGACUGAAGUGAAAAUCUGUGCAUGCCAAAACUGAAGUGAAAAUCUGUGCCUCUCAAGACUGAAGUGAAAAUCUGUGUAUAUCAAGACUGAAACGAAAAUCUGCGCAUGUCAAGACUGAAGUGAAAAUCUGGGCAUGUCAAGAAAGAAGUGAGAAUCUGUCCAUGUCAAGACUGAAGUGAAAAUCUUUGCAUGUCAAGAUUGAAGUGAAAAUCUGUGGAUGUCAAGACUGAAGUGAAAUUCUAUGUAUGGCAAGACUGAAACAUGGCGGGAAGAUAAUACUGCAGUAUUACAGGAAGAAAUGUCAGUUUGAUGUGUGUGACCAUGUCAGGCUGAUACUUAUUUGUCCAACAAACUGCCUCUCUUGCUUUACUAUGUUUGCAUGUAGGAGGGUAACACAUAUGCAUGAUAUCAUCUGACUUGUGUUUUGCUUUGAUGCUGUCUAUGUGCAACGUUGGUUACUAUCCACUUGCUUUUCUUUGUUGCGACUACAUGUUUCAGCCUGACAGUCAUCAGGUAUGCAGGCUGUUGUGAUCACAGAACCUGCUGCUUAUUGUAAUGCUAUUCUAUUUCUGUUAAUGUAGAAGCCUCAGAUUGCAUCUUGUUACGUGGGUUAGUGAUCUGUUUUUUGUUUUGGGUGUCAUUGAGCUGCUGGUGUUUGCCUUAUGGUUUUGUUUGGUUUUAUUGGUUGUGGCUGUGUUGAAUGUUCUUGCUGGGACAGGGGUUUCUUGUGUUGAUGGCCAAUCACAGCACAAAAAACAUGUGCAGCUGAAGGACACCUGAAUAAAAAAAAAAGCAGAUGGUUAACCCAGAUGCAGUCUGAGGCCUCCACAUAUCAGAAACACCCGGCUCAGUCAGUAUACAGUACUGUCAGUUGAAAGGACAUCUAUUUAAACUUGGACUGGUAAAUAGCUGCCGCUGUAAAAGGUGUCCUGACAUGGAUCACAUGUCCUAUUUGUGCCUGAAAAUGUGACUGAAUUACGAUUUUGUUGCCUGGGACUCCAACUGAAGGAACCAGUUGAGUAUGAAAUGGCACCAUUAGGCAAAGUACUGUGCUUUAUUUGAGCUGCAGGAUUGCUAGUGGGCUAUGUUAAAAAUGGAGUGUAAAUAGAUUGUAGACUGUCUCUUCAUUCCAGCUCCUUUAAUCUUAUUCUGUGUAUAAGGUGAAUAUUCAUUAGGACAGCUGGUAAAUAGAUUCUUAAGGGUUCUGACAGUGGUGUAUAACACUCAGAAUUACUGGGUUUUUGGAAACAGACCCAGUUUCCAAAAUGCUGUGUUUUCUAGUUUUUAUAAUAGUGCACAAUGGACAAAGUCCAAAAACUCAGUAAUUCUGACAGUUGAUAGAGUUUGUAGAAAUUGUUUUUUGACCUUCAGUUUCAGUUUGAUGACAUUAACUACUGAACCACUGCAGCUAGACAUGUGAAAUUUGGUACAGAGAUAGAUCAUAAAACAUACUUGCAUGUCAUGUUUAUUAUGAUGAUGGAGGUAGUGUGGAACUCUUGAGACUAUUUGACAAGUUAAUGUAAUCAGUCUGUAUUUAAGUAACAUGUUCUUCACAAAUUAUUGUGAUGAUGACAACAGCAGGAGCAAUGAUAGUAAUAAUAAUUAUAUGGCAUUAACAUAGAUGUAUAGGACUAGAUGUCUAUGCAGAAAGAAAGUAUGAAUUUUGCUCUGAACUUCCUUGUUUGAAUUAAUGUCUCAUCAUGUUGGAUUUCCUGUCAUAGGUCAUGUACUUCAAGAAGAAUAAAUAUUUGAGGGUCAUUAUGGAAAAAAAUGUAAUUAAUCCGAAUUGGGAGGUGCACUUUUUAAUAUUUUUUUAUUGUAUGGUUUAAAUGUCACCCCUGAUAUAUUAUUUCUACAUUUAAGUUCUGCUCAGUUUUGCUGAACAAACUUAAGAAAAGGGUUUCUUCAAAAUCUGUUCACUGAGAAAGAAGCCAUUACAGUGAUGAAGGUGUGGGAAGUUGAUAACAUGAUGUUCAUAUACAUGGGAAGCUUGUGUGUGCUUGCUUGGAAAGCUAGAGAACUGCACGUGACAGUAAUUCUAAUCGUCUCAUCUCUGCCUUCCUUCAUUUGAAGCAUUGUGUGUUAGUAGGAAGCAUGCUGAGCUAAAUUAAUGUACAGUUUCUCAUUUCCAUCAUAAGUUUAACAAUGCUAUAAAUGUAGUAAUCAAUAUGUAACAGGAAUUGUUCAUUUAUGGAA